Molecule: ribosomal RNA, 615 nt
Filed under: uncultured bacterium
Lineage: Bacteria
Description: bacterial SSU rRNA
Rfam family: Bacterial small subunit ribosomal RNA
Source: RNAcentral
GAUGAACGCUGGCGGCGUGCUUAACACAUGCAAGUCGAACGGUGAAUGAGGAGCUUGCUCCUUUGGAUCAGUGGCGAACGGGUGAGUAACACGUGAGUAACCUGCCCCAGACUCUGGGAUAAGCACUGGAAACGGUGUCUAAUACCGGAUACGAGCUUCAGCCGCAUGGCUAGGAGCUGGAAAGAAUUUCGGUCUGGGAUGGACUCGCGGCCUAUCAGCUAGUUGGUGAGGUAAUGGCUCACCAAGGCGACGACGGGUAGCCGGCCUGAGAGGGUGACCGGCCACACUGGGACUGAGACACGGCCCAGACUCCUACGGGAGGCAGCAGUGGGGAAUAUUGCACAAUGGGCGCAAGCCUGAUGCAGCAACGCCGCGUGAGGGACGACGGCCUUCGGGUUGUAAACCUCUUUUAGUAGGGAAGAAGCGAAAGUGACGGUACCUGCAGAAAAAGCACCGGCUAACUACGUGCCAGCAGCCGCGGUAAUACGUAGGGUGCAAGCGUUAUCCGGAAUUAUUGGGCGUAAAGAGCGCGUAGGUGGUUUGUCGCGUCUGAUGUGAAAACGCGAGGCUCAACCUCGCGCCUGCAGUGGGUACGGACAGACUAGAGUGCGGUAG